Molecule: ribosomal RNA, 407 nt
Filed under: uncultured bacterium
Lineage: Bacteria
Description: partial 16S ribosomal RNA
Rfam family: Bacterial small subunit ribosomal RNA
Source: RNAcentral
AUUGAACGCUGGCGGCAGGCCUAACACAUGCAAGUCGAGCGGAGCGGCGGACGGGUGAGUAAUACCUAGGAAUCUGCCUGAUAGUGGGGGCUAACGUUCGGAAACGGACGCUAAUACCGCAUACUAUCAGCUGAGCCUAGGUCGGAUUAGCUAGUUGGUGAGGUAAUUGCUCACCAAGGCUACGAGCCGUAACUGGUCUGAGAGGAUGAUCAGUCACACUGGAACGGAGACACGGUCAAGACUCCGACGGGAGGCAGCAGUGGGGAAUAGGGGACAAUGGGCGAAAGCCGGAGCAAGCCAUGCCGCGUGUGUGAAGAAGGUCUUCGGAUGGUAAAGCAAUUUAAGUUGGGAGGCGUUACCGACAGAAUAAGCACCGGCUAAAUCUGGGCCAGCAGCGGCGGUAAUAC